UUUGACUUGAAUAGUAUAGUGAAUAGUAACCUGAAACACAAAAAUUUCGAGAACGUCGAAUUUAACACGUUAGAACUAGGUAAAUGUGAAGCUAAAUUUAUUUUGGAUUUGUGUUAAGUUCUAGUACUGAAACAUUGUAAAAUUGUGUGUUUCAGUUGAAAAGAAUAUCGGGAAGGAACCCGAGGAACCGAGUCGAGGCUAAGGGACGACUCGCUUGAGAUACAGAGACUAGAGGAGCAGCAGACUGAGCUGCUAAAGAUUGAGGAUCAUUCAGCCUAAAGUCUUCGAGUAUAAUUUAUACCUUAAUUGUAAAUAUUUCUUUUGAUGUAUAUAUUGCACAUAAAUGUAUGGACAUGUAAAAAUGGGUUUUGAGCAGUUGUAUAAAAUUUGUAUAAAGUUGUAAUA
Hevea brasiliensis (rubber tree) is the source of this 405-nucleotide long non-coding RNA. RefSeq lists it as uncharacterized. The record is from RefSeq and is a predicted model, not a curated record. Lineage: Eukaryota; Viridiplantae; Streptophyta; Magnoliopsida; Malpighiales; Euphorbiaceae. The transcript has 2 exons.